This 54-nucleotide small nucleolar RNA is filed under the name Saccharolobus solfataricus P2. RNAcentral's name for it is "Sulfolobus solfataricus P2 Small nucleolar RNA sR14". It matches the Rfam family "Small nucleolar RNA sR14". The record is from Rfam by way of RNAcentral. Lineage: Archaea; Thermoproteati; Thermoproteota; Thermoprotei; Sulfolobales; Sulfolobaceae.
UGCUGUGAAGACCUAGCUAGGUCUGAAGAGUGAUGAGGGGCCAAAGCUCGGAGC